AUUGAACGCUGGCGGCAUGCUUUACACAUGCAAGUCGAACGGUAACAGGCCGCAAGGUGCUGACGAGUGGCGAACGGGUGAGUAAUGCAUCGGAACGUGCCCAGUCGUGGGGGAUAACUUCUCGAAAGAGUAGCUAAUACCGCAUACGAUCUAUGGAUGAAAGCGGGGGACCGUAAGGCCUCGCGCGAUUGGAGCGGCCGAUGUCAGCUUAGUUAGUUGGUGGGGUAAAGGUACACCAAGCCAACGAUCUGUAGCUGGUCUGAGAGAACGACCAGCCACACUGGAGCUGAGACACGGCCCAGGCUCCUACGGGAGGCAGCAGUGGGGAAUUUUGGACAGUGGGCGCAAGCCUGAUCCAGCAAUGCCGCGUGCAGGAAGAAGGCCUUCGGGUUGUAAACUGCUUUUGUACGGAACGAAACGGCUCUGGUUAAUACCCGGGGCUAAUGACGGUACCGUAAGAAGAAGCACCGGCUAACUACGUG
RNAcentral lists this ribosomal RNA (482 nucleotides) under uncultured bacterium. Its description in RNAcentral is "partial 16S ribosomal RNA". It matches the Rfam family "Bacterial small subunit ribosomal RNA", at positions 30 to 507 of the family's 1533-position model. The record is from RNAcentral.